AGCUGGUAGGAUAUAAAUGGGGGUCGGGGAGGAAAGAAAAAAAAAAGGAAAAAGCAGGGAAGGAAGAGAGCAGGAAGGAGGAAAGAAGAGAAGGAAGAAGGUUCCAGAAGAGAGAGAGAGGGGAGUCAGAGCGAAGAAAAGCGAGAAAGGAGAGAAAAGAGGGCCGCAGACAGCGAACGGUGCGAUCGACAAGAGGAAGGAAAAUGAAAUGGGAGGUACGGUAAAAACUUUGGUUGUGUAGGUGUUGUGUGAGUUGUGAUGUUAUUUGCUGGUUGCAGAGGCCAGAUAGUCCGUAGGUAGCUAGGCGGAGCGGAGAGGUGGAGUGUAGGACGGAAUGCCAGAGGCGUUCGUGGAGGAGGCCGUGGGAAGGAGAGGAUGGCGUUACUGGGGCAUACGGGAGGUCCGUGGGAGAAAGGGGAGGUCGUGUGAGGAGAGUGUGAGCACCAAGGGAAGUCACUGAGAGGAAGAGUGAGUAAGGAAUUUGGCGUGUGUGGGGGAUCCGAGAUGACGAAGGGAGUGGUAUGCAGGAGCGGGAGUGCAGAGGGAGUCGCGAGCAGAAGGAGCAGGAAGAAUGACUUCGAUGAGUGUCCAGUGAGAGGGGUGAGUGUGGUGAGGGUGACAGUGAGAGUCCGGAUUGUGCGAGGGAGGGGACUGUAGAAUAGGCGUACAGGUAGUCGAUGAGGAGUUUCGGGUGAGGAAAGAGGCGUAUGAAACAGUAGGGAGAGGUAGGUUUAGAGGGGGAUGAGAAUGUAGUUACUGGAGAUGGGGAUGGCACAUGAGGGGAUUGUAGAGUGUGGUUUAGGGUGAGAGAGUAU
This 815-nucleotide long non-coding RNA is filed under the name Carica papaya (papaya). RNAcentral describes it as "long non-coding RNA (CPAP_LNC013857)". Lineage: Eukaryota; Viridiplantae; Streptophyta; Magnoliopsida; Brassicales; Caricaceae. The record is from RNAcentral.